RNAcentral lists this unclassified non-coding RNA (175 nucleotides) under uncultured Sebacina. Its description in RNAcentral is "sequence contains ITS1". The record is from RNAcentral. Lineage: Eukaryota; Fungi; Basidiomycota; Agaricomycetes; Sebacinales; Sebacinaceae.
UUGAUUGCGAAUCGUUACCUUCAGUGCUGGCCAGGCUCCGGUUUGGCAAGUGCACGUCGGUGACUUUCAUCCAAUACCCUGUGAACCUUUGGCCUCUUGCUAGCUUUGGCCGGCAGAGGAUUUUACACAAACACGAAUGUAAUGAAAUUUAUUGUCGUGCGCAAGCACUAAUGUA